Molecule: long non-coding RNA, 1962 nt
Organism: Urocitellus parryii (Arctic ground squirrel)
Lineage: Eukaryota; Metazoa; Chordata; Mammalia; Rodentia; Sciuridae
Source: Ensembl
GAAGAACUUUAAUCUGGAUGUCAAAGCAGGAAGACAAAGGGGCAAAGGGAGUCCUGGCACAGAGGAAGAACUGUGACUGGGGCAGGAACUCUGUAUAAUCAAAUCUUGGUCAAACUGUGGUCUGGCUGAUCAUUUUCUCAACUCUGGUUCGCUGAGGUGGCUCUGGAGAAGUCUUACCUCUGAAGUGGCCAUUCAGAACUCAAGAGCAACUGCUCUUGCUUGUGUGUGUGUGUGUGUGUGUGUACAGGGUGGGGGCAGCCUCAGUUUCCAUCAGGGGGUAACUCAUCCUGCUUAGGGGGGCUAGGCUCAGAUCUUCCUGCAAAGUCAGAAUUUUGAAAAUUAUACUAGAUUCUUAUCUUGGUGUCCUCGGUCUUGAAGGACAAGAGACAUUAAGUAAACAUACGGCUGAUCAACUUUAUAUUGGCAGCUUUCUGGUCUCCUUAAGGAAUGUGUCUUCUUGCCCCCAUUUCUCCUCAUUCUUGUCCAUCUCUAUACAUUCUCCACUCCAGCAGCUUAAGUCACCUACUUAUUUUCUAACAUGCUCCUCAGCCUCUGCACUUUCCCCUCUCGGCCUGACCCACCUCUCCAUCUGUUUGAACAUGCAAAAGUGUCUUCCAAGGGUCAAUGUGCUUCCUGGGGACACUCUCCCCGUCCUGUCAAAGCUGAGCCAUGGCUUCUCUACAAACUAUGGUGUGCACACCCCUCUCCAGAGCCACUGUACUCCAUUUCUUCCCUCGUGUGCUCUCCUGUCCUCCCUACACUGUAGAUCCUGGCUGUCACGGUUUAGGCUCAGUGAAUGCCCGAGACCUGAGCCCGGUGGGCGUGAAAAGUUACUUUCCCAGUAAGAAGGUGAAGAGGGGAAGACGCCCCGCACAGGUCAGGCCCUAGGACCCUGGGCACCGGUGGCUCCGCCUGGGGUCAUGGGCCAACUAGGGCCAGAGGCCCGGGCUGGAGCCCGUUCCACUCCCAGUCCUGCUCCUGGGCCGCGGUCGAGCCAACAGCCGGGGCGGGCCUCCAGGGCCCGCCAUCGGCAGGUGCGGGGCAGCCCGGCCUUCGCAGCGGCGUGCCCCGCAGGCGAGGGGGGCUCAGGACCGGGCUCCUCAUCUCGGAGGACCGGCGCAGCGCGCUCAGCAGACGGAGCUCAGGCCGCCCGCUCCGGGUCUCCCAGGCGGCGGGCGAGGGCAGCCUGGAAGGCUGGCGGGGUACACUCCCGGAGCCGCGGAAGCGGUCGCGCAGCAGAGCGGCCGGGGUGCCGUCCCUCGCGGCGCUUCCGGCCAGGACCGGAAGCGCGGCCCGGUGAACUACAGCUCCCAGCAGCCUCCGCGGCACGUCCUGGUCGGCGCCGGGGGAGCGGCCGCCAUUGUCCGCGGCCGCCGUGAGGCCUUCGCCCGGGCAGUGGGGCCGCUGCCGCUGCCGCCGCCGGAAGCCGGGGGACGGGAGAGGGGGCGCGGAGAGGUGGCGCCAGUGGUGGGGGCCGGCGCGGCUCUAGGGCGGGGCCGGCGCUGGCUCUUUCCGCGCCGGCUUCGCGCCCGUUGCCCUCGGCCCGCGGCUCGGGCGGGCGCGACCUGCCCCGCCGCGCAGGGGGGCCGCGAGCCAGGUAAGGCGGGCCGCUCGCGGGGCCCGCCCGAGCGGCAGCAGCGGCCCGCUGCCCCAGGCGCUCCGCGUCCCGGCCGGCGCAGGAGGACGUCAGACGUGGGUGGGAACCGCCGGUGCUGGGCGUGCGGCGGCGGCUGGCGUCAGGCGCCGUGGCGUGCGAGCGGCCCGCCGCGCUUUGUUCGCGCCCCGGGCCUCCGGACGGGUCCGCGCUCCGGCGCAGGCCUGCCGCCCGGCAGUCGCUCCGCUCCGCCCCCCGGCCCCGACUCGGCCACGCGCGCGGGCUGGCCAGCACCGGCCUCGAGGUCCUGCAGACUGGGAAUCARGUGCUCUUGGGCAGGUGGUGCUCCUGGACAGGCACCUGGUUGA